This 778-nucleotide ribosomal RNA is filed under the name uncultured organism. RNAcentral's name for it is "bacterial SSU rRNA". It matches the Rfam family "Bacterial small subunit ribosomal RNA", at positions 13 to 766 of the family's 1533-position model. The record is from RNAcentral.
UUGUCCUUGGCUCAGGACGAACGUUGGCGGCGUGCUUACACAUGCAAGUCAAGGGGAAAGGUUGUCUUCGGACGGNCGAGUAUACUGGCGAACGGGUGAGUAACGCGUAGGUAACUUGCCUAUCAGUCUGGGAUAACACUGCUAACGCGGUGCUAAUACCGGGUAUACUGCAUAGAUCGCAUGUUUUUUGCAGGAAAGCGGGCCUCUGGAACAAGCUCGUGCUGAUAGAUAGACCUGCGUCCCAUUAGUUAGUUGGUAGGGUAACGGCCUACCAAGGCAGCGAUGGGUAGCCGGCCUGAGAGGGUGACCGGCCACACUGGGACUGAGAUACGGCCCAGACUCCUACGGGAGGCAGCAGUGAGGAAUAUUGCGCAAUGGACGAAAGUCUGACGCAGCAACGCCGCGUGAGGGAUGAAGCUUUUCGGAGUGUAAACCUCUGUUAGGAGGGAAGAACGUCUAUUAUUCGAACAGGGUGAUAGAGUGACGGUACCUCCAGAGAAAGCCCCGGCUAACUCCGUGCCAGCAGCCGCGGUAAUACGGGGGGGGCGAACGUUGUCCGGAAUUAUUGGGCGUAAAGGGCGCGUAGGCGGGAAGGUCAGUCAGAGGUGAAAGCUUGUGGCUUAACUGCAAGUUUGCCUUUGAUACUGCCAUUCUUGAGUUCGGAAGAGGGAAGUGGAAUUCCUGGUGUAGCGGUGAAAUGCGUAGAUAUCAGGAAGAACACCGGUGGCGAAGGCGGCUUCCUGGUCCGAUACUGACGCUGAUGCGCGAAAGCGUGGGG